GACAGAGGGUGCAAACGUUGUUCGGAAUUACUGGGCAUAAAGAGCACGUAGGUGGUGCGCUAAGUCACGUGUGAAAUCCCCCGGCUCAACCGGGGAAUUGCGCGUGAUACUGGCGGACUCGAGGCGGGUAGGGGUGAGCGGAACUCCAGGUGGAGCGGUGAAAUGCGUAGAUAUCGGGAGGAAUACCGAUGGCGAAGGCAGGUCUCUGGGCUAUAACUGAUGCUCAUGCACGAAAGCGUGGGGAGCAAACAGG
This 253-nucleotide ribosomal RNA is filed under the name uncultured bacterium. RNAcentral's name for it is "partial 16S ribosomal RNA". It matches the Rfam family "Bacterial small subunit ribosomal RNA", at positions 524 to 776 of the family's 1533-position model. The record is from RNAcentral.